RNAcentral lists this ribosomal RNA (212 nucleotides) under uncultured Variovorax sp. RNAcentral's name for it is "partial 16S ribosomal RNA". It matches the Rfam family "Bacterial small subunit ribosomal RNA", at positions 144 to 357 of the family's 1533-position model. Lineage: Bacteria; Pseudomonadati; Pseudomonadota; Betaproteobacteria; Burkholderiales; Comamonadaceae. The record is from RNAcentral.
UAACGCAGCGAAAGCUGUGCUAAUACCGCAUACGAUCUACGGAUGAAAGCAGGGGAUCGCAAGACCUUGCGCGAAUGGAGCGGCCGAUGGCAGAUUAGGUAGUUGGUGAGGUAAAGGCUCACCAAGCCUUCGAUCUGUAGCUGGUCUGAGAGGACGACCAGCCACACUGGGACUGAGACACGGCCCAGACUCCUACGGGAGGGCAGCAGUCG